AUGGAUGCCAAGGAUCAACCUCAAGCUAAAGUUACUCGCAGCAUCGUGUUUGUGACUGGGGAAGCUGCUCCUUAUGCAAAGUCAGGGGGGUUGGGAGAUGUUUGUGGUUCGUUACCAAUUGCUCUUGCUGCUCGUGGUCACCGAGUGAUGGUUGUAAUGCCAAGAUACUUAAAUGGGUCCUCUGAUAAAAACUAUGCAAAGGCAUUAUACACUGCGAAGCACAUUAAGAUUCCAUGCUUUGGGGGAUCACAUGAAGUGACCUUUUUUCAUGAGUAUAGAGACAACGUCGAUUGGGUGUUUGUCGAUCAUCCGUCAUAUCACAGACCAGGAAGUUUAUAUGGAGAUAAUUUUGGUGCUUUUGGUGAUAAUCAGUUCAGAUACACACUCCUUUGCUAUGCUGCAUGCGAGGCCCCACUAAUCCUUGAAUUGGGAGGAUAUAUUUAUGGACAGAAUUGCAUGUUUGUUGUGAACGAUUGGCAUGCCAGCCUUGUGCCAGUCCUUCUUGCUGCAAAAUAUAGACCAUACGGUGUUUACAGAGAUUCCCGCAGCACCCUUGUUAUACAUAAUUUAGCACAUCAGGGUGUGGAGCCUGCAAGUACAUAUCCUGAUCUGGGAUUGCCUCCUGAAUGGUAUGGAGCUUUAGAAUGGGUAUUUCCAGAAUGGGCAAGGAGGCAUGCCCUUGACAAGGGUGAGGCAGUUAACUUUUUGAAAGGAGCAGUUGUGACAGCAGAUCGGAUUGUGACCGUCAGUCAGGGUUAUUCAUGGGAGGUCACAACUGCUGAAGGUGGACAGGGCCUCAAUGAGCUCUUAAGCUCCCGAAAAAGUGUAUUGAAUGGAAUUGUAAAUGGAAUUGACAUUAAUGAUUGGAACCCCACCACAGACAAGUGUCUCCCUCAUCAUUAUUCUGUCGAUGACCUCUCUGGAAAGGCCAAAUGUAAAGCUGAAUUGCAGAAGGAGUUGGGUUUACCUGUAAGGGAGGAUGUUCCUCUGAUUGGCUUUAUUGGAAGACUGGAUUACCAGAAAGGCAUUGAUCUCAUUAAAAUGGCCAUUCCAGAGCUCAUGAGGGAGGACGUGCAAUUUGUCAUGCUUGGAUCUGGGGAUCCAAUUUUUGAAGGCUGGAUGAGAUCUACCGAGUCGAGUUACAAGGAUAAAUUCCGUGGAUGGGUUGGAUUUAGUGUUCCAGUUUCCCACAGAAUAACUGCAGGUUGCGAUAUAUUGUUAAUGCCAUCGAGAUUUGAACCUUGCGGUCUUAAUCAGCUAUAUGCUAUGCAAUAUGGUACAGUUCCUGUAGUUCAUGGAACUGGGGGCCUCCGAGACACAGUCGAGACCUUCAACCCUUUUGGUGCAAAAGGAGAGGAGGGUACAGGGUGGGCGUUCUCACCGCUAACCGUGGACAAGAUGUUGUGGGCAUUGCGAACCGCGAUGUCGACAUUCAGGGAGCACAAGCCGUCCUGGGAGGGGCUCAUGAAGCGAGGCAUGACGAAAGACCAUACGUGGGACCAUGCCGCCGAGCAGUACGAGCAGAUCUUCGAGUGGGCCUUCGUGGACCAACCCUACGUCAUGUAG
This 1566-nucleotide ribosomal RNA is filed under the name Triticum aestivum (bread wheat). RNAcentral's name for it is "partial small subunit ribosomal RNA". The record is from RNAcentral. Lineage: Eukaryota; Viridiplantae; Streptophyta; Magnoliopsida; Poales; Poaceae.